UAAUAUUUAAGUAAGAAUUAAUUUAGGUAUACGUUCAAUGUUUCCAAUGAUGAGCAGUUAAUCCACUAAACCCAGAGAUAAUUCCUGAGGCAUGUUUAAAGAGUUUUGUAUUUCAUCAAGAAGGUGCUGCUGAUUCACAAAGAUUUUAUAUUUAAGAAAAUCUGAGCAUCAUUCCAAAUAACUGUUAACAUGUUUGUCAACUAAACAUGUUUUGUAAACGUAAUAAACUUUAUAAAAAUAUUUUUUAUUUUUUAUUAAUAAUCAAGUAUAAAGAACAAUGCAUAGUGUGAAAACGCGGAUUAUAAAAAGUAUAUAUAAAAGAAAAGGACUACAUUUCCCAGAAUGCACCUGCACCUACUCAUCUGCCCCCACCCUUCAGGUGCGACUGCUCAACCUAUGGGCUUGACGGGAAAAUUCAAAAUCGCGAACCGUUACUGCCUGGACUACUCCGUCUCUUGUUUGUUUGUUUGCUCAUUAACAGUAAGAGGUCAUGUACACUGUGGUCAACUUUGUGGACGAUGAAGAGGUUUCUGGGUAAAGCUGAUAGAAAUAUAAUGAAGUAACAGUGAAAGCUAAAACAUCAGACUGAUCCAGACACUGAAGAAAUUGAUGUCACUGCAAUCUGGCCAAAAUGAUACAACUAUAUUGAAGUAACCUACUGUAAUGAAGCUGCAGAACAACACAGAGACUCUGAGGACAUCAACACAGAAAAUUAAGGCACCAAAGAGAUGUCUGUCCAGAUGAGGGUGCAUCAACGUUACCUUUGCUGACAAGUAUAUGCUUUACAAUGUAAAACCUAACAGUUAACUUAACUCAAACCAUUUAAGGAAAUCGGUUGCCUUAACCCAUUAAGUUUAAAAAAAAACAUACAUUUGAGUACUGUGAACUUAAGUCUUGUGCAAUAAUGCACUUAUAUUUAGUUAGUGUGAACUUAAAUAUAAGUGCAUAACUGCAUGUGACUCAAUUUGUUUAAGUUCACAGUACUCAAAUCUAUGUGUUUUAAAACUUAAAUGGUUUAAUGCAACCGGUUUUCUUAAAUGGUUUGAGUUUAGUUAACUUUUAGGUUUUACAGUGAGAAAUUCUUGAAUAAUUCCAAGACAGAGCUCUGCAAUUGUAUCUACACUGCAAAAAAAUCAGUUUCUAACUUAGGAUUUUUAUCUUGUUUUUAGUAGAAAAACUAAAAAUUCUUAAAUCAAGAUGUAUUUUCUUGAUGAGCAAAA
Molecule: long non-coding RNA, 1220 nt
Organism: Paramisgurnus dabryanus
Lineage: Eukaryota; Metazoa; Chordata; Actinopteri; Cypriniformes; Cobitidae
Source: RefSeq, a predicted model, not a curated record